CCUUGUGAUCCCUGCCAGUAGUAAAUAUGCUUGUCUUCAAAGAUUAAAGGCCAUGCAUGUGCAAGUAUGAAACUAAUUCGAACUGUGAAAUGACGAAUGGCUCACAAAUCAGUUAUAGUUUGUUGAUGGUACGUUGCUACACGGAGUAACCGUAGUAAUUCUAGAGCUAAUACGUGCAAACAAACCCCGACUUCCGGGAGGGUGCGCAUUUAUAGAUUUAAAAGGCUAAAGCGGGCUCUGCUCGCUGAUCCGAUUGUUCUGAUAACUUAACUUGACGGAAUCGCACGGCCCGCGUGCGGCGACGCAACAUUCAAAUUUUUGCCCUAUCAACUGUCGAUGGUAGGAUAGGGGGGCCUACCAUGUGGGUGCGGGUGACAGAGAAUUAGGGUUCAAUUCCGGAGAGAGAGGGAGCCUGGAGCAACGGGUACCACAUCCAAGGAAGGCAGCUAGGCGCGCAAAUACCCAAAAAUUACUGACACGGGGAGGUAGUGACAAUAAAUAACAACACGGCGCGUUAGUGUUGGUAAUUGGAAUGAGGUCGACAAUCCUAAUCCCUAAGAGGACCAUUAGAGGGCAAGUUUGGUGUGCCAGCAGCCGUGGUAAUUCCGUCCAAUAGCGUAGUAUAUUUAAGUUUGUUGCGUUAAAAGCUCCUAGUGGACCUUGGCCGAGGUCGGCUGGUCCGCCUCACGGCGAGAACCGACCUACUCGACCCUUCUGCCGGCGAUGAGCUUGGCCUUAAUUGGUCAGGUCGUGCCUCCGACGCUGUUACUUUGAAGGAAAUUAGAUUGCUCAAAGCAAGCCAUCGCUAUGGAUACAGUAGAAUGGGAUAACCUCAUAGGAUUCCGGUCCUAUUGUGUUGGCCUUCAGGAUCGGAGUAAUGAUUAAUAGGGACAGUCGGGGCAUUCGUAUUUCAUAGUCAGAGGUGAAAUUCUGCUAUUUAUGAAAGACGAACAACUGCGAAAGCAUUGCCAAGGAUGUUUUCAUUAAUCACAGAACAAAAAGGGGGGGCUCGAAGACGAUCAGAUACCGUCCUAGUCUUCAACCAUAAACCAAUGCCGACCAGGGAUCGGCGGAUGUUGCUUAUAGGACUCCGUCAGCACCUUAUGAGAAAUCAAAGCUUUGGGGUUCCAGGGGGAAAGUAGGUCGCAAGGCUGAAACUUAAGGGAACUGAUGAAAGGGCACCACCAGGGUGUGGAGCCUGCGGACAAAUUUGGACUCAACCCGGGGAAACGGGAAAUUACAAGGUCCAGACAAGCAAGGAUGACAAACGAGAGCUCUUUCUUGAUUCUAUGGGUGUCUUCGAGGCUUAGUGCCAUCUCAAUGUCCAAAGACAGAACCAUCUAUCCUUGGUUAUGACAAUGACAACGUUGAUUGAAACGUCUUCUUAAUCUUAAUUAAAAAGAACGGUUGGUGUCAAGAAAGAUGCGACACUGAUGUUGUAAGUACAAAUCAUUUCUAAAACCAUUCAUCUAUACCAAUCAAUAACUGGGCGUUGACACGAAUUUUGUCUUCCCUAAGUCCAUGGGGGAAAAUAGGUCUUUCACAGAUCUGAAGAGGAAAUUCAUGCAAUUAUGAAGGAUAUGGCUGAUCAUGUAUGUUGUGAAAUA
This 1607-nucleotide ribosomal RNA is filed under the name Saccharum spontaneum (wild sugarcane). Its description in RNAcentral is "SSU rRNA". It matches the Rfam family "Eukaryotic small subunit ribosomal RNA", at positions 1 to 1474 of the family's 1831-position model. The record is from RNAcentral. Lineage: Eukaryota; Viridiplantae; Streptophyta; Magnoliopsida; Poales; Poaceae.